RNAcentral lists this long non-coding RNA (245 nucleotides) under Dermacentor andersoni. RNAcentral describes it as "uncharacterized LOC126518997". The record is from RNAcentral. Lineage: Eukaryota; Metazoa; Arthropoda; Arachnida; Ixodida; Ixodidae.
GUCUGCAGAUUUGUCCCGUUCUCAAGAUGAAGCAUGCUUCAGCCAUCGUCUUGCUUCUUGGCCUAGCCGUGUUCAUGGACAUAAGCCGUUUACCAGGGGGUGUCUUUGCAGACGACUACACAGACGACUAUGCAGACGAAAACGGUUGGACCCAAGCUAGGUGCCAAGAGAGCUGCCAAAAUAAGGACUACAUGAUCGGCCUUUUUAUGCCAGGUGACCCCGAAUCUAACUGCAGGUGCAUAAUG